UACGGGGGGGGCAAGCGUUGUUCGGAAUUACUGGGCGUAAAGGGCGCGUAGGCGGAGUAUUAAGUUAGAUGUGAAAUCCCUGGGCUUAACCUGGGAAUGGCAUUUAAUACUGAUAAUCUAGAGUAGAGUAGAGGGAAGUGGAAUUUCCGGUGUAGCGGUGAAAUGCGUAGAGAUCGGAAAGAACACCGGUGGCGAAGGCGGCUUCCUGGACUCAUACUGACGCUGAGGCGCGAAAGCGUGGGGAGCAAACAGG
Molecule: ribosomal RNA, 253 nt
Filed under: uncultured bacterium
Lineage: Bacteria
Description: partial 16S ribosomal RNA
Rfam family: Bacterial small subunit ribosomal RNA
Source: RNAcentral